Molecule: ribosomal RNA, 1447 nt
Filed under: uncultured organism
Description: 16S ribosomal RNA
Rfam family: Bacterial small subunit ribosomal RNA
Source: RNAcentral
CAGGCUUAACACAUGCAAGUCGAGGGGCAGCAUUUUAGUUUGCCUGCAAACUAAAGAUGGCGACCGGCGCACGGGUGAGUAACACGUAUCCAACCUGCCGAUAACUCGGGGAUAGCCUUUCGAAAGAAAGAUUAAUAUCCGAUAGUAUAUUAAAACCGCAUGGUUUUACUAUUAAAGAAUUUCGGUUAUCGAUGGGGAUGCGUUCCAUUAGUUUGUUGGCGGGGUAACGGCCCACCAAGACUACGAUGGAUAGGGGUUCUGAGAGGAAGGUCCCCCACAUUGGAACUGAGACACGGUCCAAACUCCUACGGGAGGCAGCAGUGAGGAAUAUUGGUCAAUGGACGAGAGUCUGAACCAGCCAAGUAGCGUGAAGGAUGACUGCCCUAUGGGUUGUAAACUUCUUUUAUAUGGGAAUAAAGUAUUCCACGUGUGGGAUUUUGUAUGUACCAUAUGAAUAAGGAUCGGCUAACUCCGUGCCAGCAGCCGCGGUAAUACGGAGGAUCCGAGCGUUAUCCGGAUUUAUUGGGUUUAAAGGGAGCGUAGGUGGAUUGUUAAGUCAGUUGUGAAAGUUUGCGGCUCAACCGUAAAAUUGCAGUUGAAACUGGCAGUCUUGAGUACAGUAGAGGUGGGCGGAAUUCGUGGUGUAGCGGUGAAAUGCUUAGAUAUCACGAAGAACUCCGAUUGCGAAGGCAGCUCACUAGACUGCAACUGACACUGAUGCUCGAAAGUGUGGGUAUCAAACAGGAUUAGAUACCCUGGUAGUCCACACAGUAAACGAUGAAUACUCGCUGUUUGCGAUAUACAGUAAGCGGCCAAGCGAAAGCAUUAAGUAUUCCACCUGGGGAGUACGCCGGCAACGGUGAAACUCAAAGGAAUUGACGGGGGCCCGCACAAGCGGAGGAACAUGUGGUUUAAUUCGAUGAUACGCGAGGAACCUUACCCGGGCUUAAAUUGCAUUUGAAUAAUCUGGAAACAGGUUAGCCGCAAGGCAAAUGUGAAGGUGCUGCAUGGUUGUCGUCAGCUCGUGCCGUGAGGUGUCGGCUUAAGUGCCAUAACGAGCGCAACCCUUAUCUUUAGUUACUAACAGGUCAUGCUGAGGACUCUAGAGAGACUGCCGUCGUAAGAUGUGAGGAAGGUGGGGAUGACGUCAAAUCAGCACGGCCCUUACGUCCGGGGCUACACACGUGUUACAAUGGGGGGUACAGAAGGCAGCUACCUGGCGACAGGAUGCUAAUCCCAAAAACCUCUCUCAGUUCGGAUCGAAGUCUGCAACCCGACUUCGUGAAGCUGGAUUCGCUAGUAAUCGCGCAUCAGCCAUGGCGCGGUGAAUACGUUCCCGGGCCUUGUACACACCGCCCGUCAAGCCAUGAAAGCCGGGGGUACCUGAAGUACGUAACCGCAAGGAGCGUCCUAGGGUAAAACUGGUAAUUGGGGCUAAGUCAUAACA